RNAcentral lists this ribosomal RNA (460 nucleotides) under uncultured bacterium. RNAcentral describes it as "partial 16S ribosomal RNA". It matches the Rfam family "Bacterial small subunit ribosomal RNA", at positions 338 to 795 of the family's 1533-position model. The record is from RNAcentral.
CCUACGGGAGGCAGCAGUGAGGAAUAUUGGUCAAUGGGCGGAAGCCUGAACCAGCCAAGUAGCGUGCAGGAUGACGGCCCUACGGGUUGUAAACUGCGUUUAUACGGGAAUAACGCGCCUUACGUGUAGGGCUUUGCAUGUACCGUAUGAAUAAGGACCGGCUAAUUCCGUGCCAGCAGCCGCGGUAAUACGGAGGGUCCGGGCGUUAUCCGGAUUUAUUGGGUGUAAAGGGAGCGGAGGCGGCAUGUCAAGCGUGCUGUGAAAUGUCCGGGCUCAACCCGGGCCUUGCAGCGCGAACGGGCGGGCUUGAGUCCGCGGAAAGCAGGCGGAAUUCGUGGUGUAGCGGUGAAAUGCUUAGAUAUGACGAAGAACCCCGAAUGCGAAGGCAGCUUGCUGCAGCGGAACUGACGCUGAUGCUCGAAAGCGCGGGUAGCGAACAGGAUUAGAUACCCUAGUAGUC